GAUGAACGCUGGCGGUAUGCUUAACACAUGCAAGUCGAACGGACUCUUCGGAGUUAGUGGCGGACGGGUGAGUAACGCGUGAGAAUCUGGCUUUGGGUUCGGGACAACCACUGGAAACGGUGGCUAAUACCGGAUGUGCCGAGAGGUAAAAGAGAAAUUGCCUGAAGAUGAGCUCGCGUCUGAUUAGCUAGUUGGUGAGGUAGAGGCUCACCAAGGCAGCGAUCAGUAGCUGGUCUGAGAGGAUGACCAGCCACACUGGGACUGAGACACGGCCCAGACUCCUACGGGAGGCAGCAGUGGGGAAUUUUCCGCAAUGGGCGAAAGCCUGACGGAGCAAUACCGCGUGAGGGAAGAAGGCUCUUGGGUUGUAAACCUCUUUUCUUAGGGAAGAACAAAAUGACGGUACCUAAGGAAUCAGCAUCGGCUAACUCCGUG
RNAcentral lists this ribosomal RNA (435 nucleotides) under uncultured bacterium. RNAcentral's name for it is "partial 16S ribosomal RNA". It matches the Rfam family "Bacterial small subunit ribosomal RNA", at positions 28 to 507 of the family's 1533-position model. The record is from RNAcentral.